Molecule: small RNA, 878 nt
Filed under: Rattus norvegicus (Norway rat)
Lineage: Eukaryota; Metazoa; Chordata; Mammalia; Rodentia; Muridae
Description: uncharacterized LOC102549721
Source: RNAcentral
CUCCCGAUAGUUAAGACUUACUUCGAACCUUACAGUGCCAGGCCUUCACAGAUGUUAAAUUUUCAUUUGACUUUCAUUUUAAAAUAAGAGAAUUAAGAUUGUAGGUAAAUUGAAAGAAGAAGUGGAGAGUUAUCCGGACUGAGCGCAGGAACCGGAAGUAGAAUCUCAAACGACAGAAGAGAAGGAAAUGUGAACGUCGAUGCGGGGGAGACGAGAUUGCUCUGAAAAAGACUGCAGGGUGAGAGGGGGAAGAAAGAGUCCCUAUCAUGGAGGCUGCAGUCAGCCAGUGUGGAGCAUUUUCCUCAGCAGGAAAUCAUGUCACCUCUCAGGGAGUGCUUCCAGGAGAAAGACUUGUCAGAGUUCAGUCUUCUGCAAGGCUGGCUUCCUCCAGCCUAACCAUGCUAUGCACUCGUGCUUCAAAAAGCCUUCAAACAUUAAUUAACGUUUUCUGAAAAGCACCCAACCAUUCGGCUCUGAUAGCAGCGAGAUUGAAAAGCACGGAGUUCUGCAGAGGUUUGGCAGUGUGGCGAAGGAUCCAGACACAAAACCUGGGAGCUGUGUGCGCCUGCUGCACUUGCCUUACUGAGAUGCUAUCAGCUGUAGAUCCAAUCCCCAUCAAUCAAAUGCACAGCAGAUGAAAAUCUUUUUUACCCUUCUGCCUUCUCUACUGAAGACAAUAUUUGCCUCUCAUGGAGCUGAAUUUUUUCAUCAAUGAAUUCGACUUGCAUUGGCCUUGUUCAGAGGACCUGAGUUCAUUUUCCAGAACUCAGGCCAGGUACCAGACAACUCCAGUGUUAGCCUCCACCAGUCUUUGUCACAUGAAUGCAUACACACAAGAAAACAUUCACACACAUAAAAUAAAAAUAAAUUUGAAACAA